GUAUUGAUUGCGGGUUAGCGCAUAAAUGAGGUCAUUCUACACUUUUUAAAAGGGGUGUUUGUGUGAAAACGCAAGCCCCCCUCCGAACAAGCCGAAAGGGGGACCCACGCGGUGGUGCACAUAGGGGUGAGAUGGAUGGUGUGUGAGAGCACUCGGGCGUGCACGACAAAAAGUCAGCGACAGCCCUUGCGCCUCGGUUAUGCGAUAAUGAUCCUUCCGCAGGUUCACCUACGGAAA
RNAcentral lists this unclassified non-coding RNA (237 nucleotides) under uncultured fungus. RNAcentral's name for it is "sequence contains ITS1". The record is from RNAcentral. Lineage: Eukaryota; Fungi.